Molecule: ribosomal RNA, 1339 nt
Filed under: Staphylococcus aureus DAR5886
Lineage: Bacteria; Bacillati; Bacillota; Bacilli; Caryophanales; Staphylococcaceae
Description: bacterial SSU rRNA
Rfam family: Bacterial small subunit ribosomal RNA
Source: RNAcentral
AAAGACGGUCUUGCUGUCACUUAUAGAUGGAUCCGCGCUGCAUUAGCUAGUUGGUAAGGUAACGGCUUACCAAGGCAACGAUGCAUAGCCGACCUGAGAGGGUGAUCGGCCACACUGGAACUGAGACACGGUCCAGACUCCUACGGGAGGCAGCAGUAGGGAAUCUUCCGCAAUGGGCGAAAGCCUGACGGAGCAACGCCGCGUGAGUGAUGAAGGUCUUCGGAUCGUAAAACUCUGUUAUUAGGGAAGAACAUAUGUGUAAGUAACUGUGCACAUCUUGACGGUACCUAAUCAGAAAGCCACGGCUAACUACGUGCCAGCAGUCGCGGUAAUACGUAGGUGGCAAGCGUUAUCCGGAAUUAUUGGGCGUAAAGCGCGCGUAGGCGGUUUUUUAAGUCUGAUGUGAAAGCCCACGGCUCAACCGUGGAGGGUCAUUGGAAACUGGAAAACUUGAGUGCAGAAGAGGAAAGUGGAAUUCCAUGUGUAGCGGUGAAAUGCGCAGAGAUAUGGAGGAACACCAGUGGCGAAGGCGACUUUCUGGUCUGUAACUGACGCUGAUGUGCGAAAGCGUGGGGAUCAAACAGGAUUAGAUACCCUGGUAGUCCACGCCGUAAACGAUGAGUGCUAAGUGUUAGGGGGUUUCCGCCCCUUAGUGCUGCAGCUAACGCAUUAAGCACUCCGCCUGGGGAGUACGACCGCAAGGUUGAAACUCAAAGGAAUUGACGGGGACCCGCACAAGCGGUGGAGCAUGUGGUUUAAUUCGAAGCAACGCGAAGAACCUUACCAAAUCUUGACAUCCUUUGACAACUCUAGAGAUAGAGCUUUCCCCUUCGGGGGACAAAGUGACAGGUGGUGCAUGGUUGUCGUCAGCUCGUGUCGUGAGAUGUUGGGUUAAGUCCCGCAACGAGCGCAACCCUUAAGCUUAGUUGCCAUCAUUAAGUUGGGCACUCUAAGUUGACUGCCGGUGACAAACCGGAGGAAGGUGGGGAUGACGUCAAAUCAUCAUGCCCCUUAUGAUUUGGGCUACACACGUGCUACAAUGGACAAUACAAAGGGCAGCGAAACCGUGAGGUCAAGCAAAUCCCAUAAAGUUGUUCUCAGUUCGGAUUGUAGUCUGCAACUCGACUACAUGAAGCUGGAAUCGCUAGUAAUCGUAGAUCAGCAUGCUACGGUGAAUACGUUCCCGGGUCUUGUACACACCGCCCGUCACACCACGAGAGUUUGUAACACCCGAAGCCGGUGGAGUAACCUUUUAGGAGCUAGCCGUCGAAGGUGGGACAAAUGAUUGGGGUGAAGUCGUAACAAGGUAGCCGUAUCGGAAGGUGCGGCUGGAUCACCU